RNAcentral lists this microRNA (23 nucleotides) under Homo sapiens (human). RNAcentral describes it as "hsa-miR-6847-5p". The record is from miRBase by way of RNAcentral. Lineage: Eukaryota; Metazoa; Chordata; Mammalia; Primates; Hominidae.
ACAGAGGACAGUGGAGUGUGAGC